This 3156-nucleotide long non-coding RNA is filed under the name Gossypium barbadense (sea-island cotton). RNAcentral's name for it is "long non-coding RNA (GBAR_LNC008545)". Lineage: Eukaryota; Viridiplantae; Streptophyta; Magnoliopsida; Malvales; Malvaceae. The record is from RNAcentral.
UCGUGUUAUUGGUAGGAGUGUUCGGGUAUUUAUACAUGUUAUUAUAGAUGUUAUUACAACUCAUAAUCAAGCCCCACUAUUUUGUUUUGACUCUGCUACCUCUAAUACUGACAUUCUCUGCGAACUCUAGGUCUACUGGGUACGUAUUCACGGAGCACGCCGUCCUUUCUAUCCAUGGGACUGAUUCUAGGUGGACUCCAUGCCUGUUGGACACGUGUUUAGAUGGCAUGUGGAGCACGUGGUCCUUUCUGCAAGCUCCUUGGGUAUAUGCGGGCUAAGACCAAGGCUAACAUAUGUUCUUGCGAGCUGGGUCCGUGAGCUCACUUUGCUGUCCUUUCGUCGUUUGCCUUGCACUCAAUCUUCUGGUAGGACCUAUCCAAGUUACGGGUUAGAGACCUGAAUCCCUUCUAGGACUUGGGUUGGUGAUUACUAAUGUAUAACACCUUUCAAUUUUAUAAAUAAAAAAAAAGUCACUUUAAUUUUCCAUCUAAAUUAAAUAGAUAGUUAAAAUGACUUUUUUGUAAAGUUUGAAGGCCAAAUAAGUUAUUAUGUCUUUUUAAAUAUGUGUAACCCUAAUAUAUAUUGAGAUAAAUGAUCUAUUUAUAUAAAUUAACUUUUAAUCCAAUAUGUAAAUCAAGUAUGUGAAUGAAUGGAUAGACUUUAAUUGUUAUUAAAGCAAUUAAAUUAAUUCUAUAAAAAAUAAUUAAUUUAAUUAAUACUUUGAAUAAUAAUUUAAUUAACUUAAAUAGAGCUUGUAAAACCUUAAAUUAAGUUGUUUAAUAUCAAUAAUAUGAGCUAAAAUCUUACAUACCCUCACUUUAUCCAAUUUAUAAAAUAUAAACUUUAAUAAUACAAUUAUUGAGUGUGCAUUAUAAAAUAUAAUAUUAAUUAUUAUUUCUUCUUUAAUAGGGAGGAAAUUUUUUUAAUUCAAUGCACUUCUACUUAUAAACACCCAAAAUUCUUAAAUCGAAAUAUGUAUGUUUUGUAAUACUCCUUACCCGAGACUGUUGCCAGAAUCGAGCACGAGGCAUUACUAAACUUAAUCUAUCACUUAAAUAGUUUUAAAUUGUUUAUUUAAGCUUUUCGGAAUGUGCUGCCAUUCUGCGUCGUAGUCGCCUAAAAAUUCAUAUCUUGAGUUCCAAAACUCAAAAUUAAGAUCCGUAAAUUUUUCCUGAAACUAGACUCAUAUAUCUAUCUACUAAUUUUUUUCAUAGAUUUUUUACUUGGCCAAUUAGUACAGUUUAUUAGUUAAAGUUUCCCUUGUUUCAAAACUCGACUGCACUAACCUCUUCUUGCUACGACAUGUUUCUUCCUGUACAAAAUUCAUAUAACUAAGCCGUUUGUUUCUCUUAAAACUAGACUCAACAAGGAUUAUAACCAUAUAAAGUAAACCUUCUAAUUAGUUUUGUACAAUUUAUGGUGAAUUUCCAAAUUUGAAACAGGGGAUCCAGAAAUCGCUCUGACCCUGUUUCACUAAAACUCAGAUAUAUCAUAUAAUAUAAUACCUUUACCUGUUUUUCUUAUUCCAUAAGAAAAUAGACAUAAUAAGCUUUAAUUUAAUAUAUUAUUCAUCUUCAAACUAUGUUUCUACAAUUUUUAGUGAUUUUUCAAAGUUAAGUCAUUUCUGUUACUUGAAUCUGUUUUUAGGUUACUUUCACAUUUUUCAUAAUUUUCAUGUGAUAAUCACCAUUCAAUCAUACAUAUUAAUAAACAUGCAUAUCAUCGGCCAUUUUUAUUAGCUAAUCACUAGCAAGUAUUUACACAUCAUUCAUUGUUCAUAUUAUACCAAAAGUAGCUAAGUUUCUAUACAUGCCAUACACAAAAAAAACGUCUAAUUAUACCGAGUUAUUUCUUUGAUAGUGUGAUCGGCCUCCGACGUUUCCUUCGAUCCCCGAGUGGCUAGAUAAGUACUAUAAGAAGAAGAAAAUAAAGAGAUUAAGCACUAGGCUUAGUAAGCUUACAAGCAAAUAAAUCACAACAUUCAACAUAAUGGAUAAUUAUGCAUAAUAUCAUCUAACAUCAUAAAUUUCUUUACUUCUCAAUUUCUAUCUUCUUCUUUAUUCCCUUACCUUCUUUCUUACCUGACCUUUCCUUUUUCAUAAAUAUAAUCUACUUUUCCUUUGCUGUUAAUUCACUGUAAUUUAACUCGUAUUCUGACCCGUUGAACCACUCGGAAUACUAAGGAUACUAGGGUCAUUCCUGUCUAUCAAUACCCUGCCAAUGCCAUGUCUUUGACAUGGACUUACAUGAAUUAUUCCUGUCUCCAAUGCCAUAUAUAAUAUGGACUUACAUGGCUCAAUCCUGUCUCCAAAGCCAUAUUUCUAAUAUGGACUUACAUGGCUCAUUUUUGUUCUGUCCUGUCAACCCUAAUAUCCUAACAUUCCUAGGGUUCAACCGGGGCUUUCUAACACUUUUCCCCUGUCACUUCACCUUAAAUUCGACUUUAAAUAUUUUCAUAACAUAAAUAUAUAAAUGCUGGAAAUUGACAAUAAUAAUGUAAAAUAAAAGAAUAUUGCAUUUAUUUACUGUAAACUUACCUCGAUACAAAAUGUGACUAAAGUUUACAAUUUAGUCCUUUACUUUUUCUUUUCCCCGAUCUACUCCCGAAUUUCGCUCUUCUUGAUCUAUAAUAGCAAAUUUAGCUUAUUUAAUAUCAACAUUUAUCAAAACAACCCUUUACUCAAACUUUGGAAAAAUCACAUUUUUGCCCCUAAACUUUCACAUAUUUUCACUUUUGCCCCAAGGCUCGUAAAUUAAACUUCAUCCUAUUUUCUUAUGUUUUAUGACAUACUGAUCAUUUUUCCCUUCUAUGACAACAUCAAAUUCACACACUAACAUGUACUUAUGACUAUUAGGUAUUUUUACCGAUUAAGCCUUUUUACUCGUUUUCACUUAAAACCAAGUAGCACAAGUUGUCUAACAUAAUUUAAAGCCUCAUAUUCCAUCAUAAAACAUCAAAAUACACAAAUUUCUCCUAUGGGUAUUUUUCCAAAUUUGAUUCCUAACUUAAAUUAUUGCUAGCAUAAGCUUUAUCGAGCUACCGGGACUUAAAAAAUGUAAAGAUCAUUAAAAUCGGGGCUUGGAAUCACUUACUAUAAAGCUUGAAAGUUGAAGAAACCCCAGCUAUGGAGAGAGGUAAGGUUCGGCUGGUAACUU